AGGACAUCAGUCUUAGCAGCUUGUGAUUACACACCAGCCUUUUGUUUCCCUGGCUUUCAUGGCAAUGUCUGGGAUAUACCAUAGCUUCUGAUCUUGCUGAAACUCCAUAAUGACCUGGAAAUAUUUCAUAGCCAGAGUGGAAAAUGUAAUUUGCCUGAGGAUCCCAGGUUAUAGGAGACAACAAAGAAAUACAACUCCUGAAUUAAUUCUAUCAGCAGGUAACACGUGAGUUGGUGAGAAAUGAUCAAUGGAGAAGUGCUGGAAGAAGCUGGUUUCUGAGGUUGCCUGGAUGGACCGAGCGCUACAUGAGAAGCAGGUUUUACUUUGGGAAAGUGGCAGAGAGAAUAACAUUUUAGCUUAAUUCCAAACAGCAAACUAAAUCAGUCUGAAGAUUCAGAUCAAUUUUGAAAUUAUCCCCUCUACUCCGUAUCCUUAGCCAAUCAAAAGUUUAUUCUGA
This 457-nucleotide long non-coding RNA is filed under the name Crocodylus porosus (Australian saltwater crocodile). RNAcentral describes it as "lncRNA (ENSCPRG00005011224.1)". The record is from RNAcentral. Lineage: Eukaryota; Metazoa; Chordata; Crocodylia; Crocodylidae.